RNAcentral lists this ribosomal RNA (1046 nucleotides) under Phytophthora chlamydospora. RNAcentral's name for it is "partial large subunit ribosomal RNA". The record is from RNAcentral. Lineage: Eukaryota; Oomycota; Peronosporomycetes; Peronosporales; Peronosporaceae.
GGAUUCCCCUAGUAACGGCGAGUGAAGCGGGAAGAGCUCAAGCUUAAAAUCUCCGUGCAAGUUUUGCGCGGCGAAUUGUAGUCUAUAGAGGCGUGGUCAGCGUGGGCGCUUGGGGCAAGUUCCUUGGAAGAGGACAGCAUGGAGGGUGAUACUCCCGUUCAUCCCUGAGUGGCUCGUGCGUACGACCCGUGUUCUUUGAGUCGCGUUGUUUGGGAAUGCAGCGCAAAGUAGGUGGUAAAUUCCAUCUAAAGCUAAAUAUUGGUGCGAGACCGAUAGCGAACAAGUACCGUGAGGGAAAGAUGAAAAGAACUUUGAAAAGAGAGUUAAAGAGUACCUGAAACUGCUGAAAGGGAACCGAAUCGUUUCCAGUGUCUAUAAUCCGUGGCAUAUUUCAUUGGCGAGUGUGUGCGCGCGUGCGCUGUGGCAGCGGCUUUUUUGGCUGCGCUCGGUGCGUGUGUUGUGYGUGCUUGCUGGUGCCCUGUGCUGCGGUGGGACGUCAAGGUCAGUUCGUAUGCUGCGGGAAAUGGCUGCCGAGGAGGUAGGGCUUACGCUCUGCGUUUGUCUAUUAUAUCUUGGUGGACGAGUCGUCGCGGUUGGGACUGAGGUGCCUACAACGUGCUUUUGAGUGGGUGUGUGUCUCCGUGUGCGCCGUGUGCGGAUAGCUUGCUAUGCGUGUGUGGUUGUGUGUGGAUUGAUGCGUGCCUUAACUUGUCGCCGUUCGGGACGUUGACGAAAUGGAGCGAUCCGACCCGUCUUGAAACACGGACCAAGGAGUCUAACAUGUGUGCAAGUGUUAGGGUGUGGAAACCCCAGCGCGAAAUGAAAGUGAAGGGCAGCGCAAGUUGUCUGAGGUAGGAAACGUUGCGGGCUUCGGUCUGCGGCGUGGCACUAUCGACCGAUCAUGAACCUUCGUGGUGAAAGAUUUGAGUUUGAGCACAUAUGUUGGUACCCGAAAGAUGGUGAACUAUGCCUGAGUAGGGUGAAGCCAGGGGAAACUCUGGUGGAAGCUCGUAGCGAUUCUGACGUGCAAAUCGAUCGUCAAACUU